GACUAGUGUGCCUACAGCCAACUUAUCUCAAUCUGUGGAAGGUCAUAAUCCAUGGAUUCUGGACUCAGGUGCCUCAGACCAUAUCUCUGGAACAUGGGACAGGUCGUCUGAUUGGAGAAGGACAUGAGUCUCAAGGACUUUAUUUUUUAAAACCUCAUUCCUCAGUUUCCUGCUUUACCACUUCAUCCCCCAAACUUCUGCAUGAUCGUCUAGGCCAUCCAAGUUUGUUCAAGUUGAAGAUGAUGGUUCCAAGUCUCAAAAACAUCCAAGUCUUAGAUUGUGAAUCUUGUCAAUUAGGAAAACAUGUUAGAUCUUCCUAUCCUAAAAGAUCUGAGACACAGUGUGAUUUUCCUUUUUCAAUAAUUCAUUCAGAUAUUUGGGGACCAAGUCGUGUUACUUCAUUUGGUUUUAAUUAUUUUGUAACCUUUAUUGAUGAAUUCUCUCGAUGUACUUGGGUUUAUUUAAUGAAAGAGAGAUCUGAACUUUUGUCCA
This is a long non-coding RNA of Vigna angularis (adzuki bean), 492 nucleotides long. RefSeq lists it as uncharacterized. The record is from RefSeq and is a predicted model, not a curated record. NCBI's taxonomy places the organism in Eukaryota, Viridiplantae, Streptophyta, Magnoliopsida, Fabales, Fabaceae. The transcript is spliced from 2 exons.